RNAcentral lists this long non-coding RNA (3109 nucleotides) under Anolis carolinensis (green anole). RNAcentral describes it as "lncRNA (ENSACAG00000043071.1)". Lineage: Eukaryota; Metazoa; Chordata; Lepidosauria; Squamata; Anolidae. The record is from RNAcentral.
AUGCAAGGAAUCUGGGGCAAAAAAAAAAGUUUAGAAUUGAUAAGGGGAGCCAAGUAUGCAAAUAUUAAAAGGCAAAUCACUUCAAAACCAUUACAGUCAGUUCAGAGAAAGCCUUAUAGAACUGCGGAUACAUAUGGAAACAACAGGGAAGUGUCUACAAUUAAUGACCCAGAAGGGAAAAAUAUGAUAUUUGAAACACCGAGAUAAAGGGUAUUGUUCUGCUAAAUGGAAUGACAAGAGACUCCAUAGACUAAGAGAUCUUUCUGAAAAUGUUAUCACAUGUAUUGCAGCAAAAUUAAAAGAAAAACUUCAGAGAGUGCAAGUGAAUUCGAUUUUUUUAUCAGUUACAUUACCUUUUAGUAUAGUAAGGCAAAAAGAUCAGAAAAUGAGACUUUAUUGUAUUCUAUUGUAACAUAUGAAUAACUCAACAAGAUUCAUUUCUAAAAUAUAAUCACAUUAAAUUAAAAUAGAUACAAGCAUGUCAAAUGGCCCUGAAAUGAUAUGGAAAGAGAGUAUCAGGAUAACUAUUGGAGGAGAGGAUCUAUAGAACAAAUUAGGGAAAAUUAUAUCAAGAAAAGCAGUAUUAAUAAUCCUUAAGGAGAAUUUUUCCAAAUUAUCUCACUGAAGUUUUGUUACGAAAGUGUGUCUGACAAGCAUAAACAAUGCAAAUUAAAUUAAUAAAUUUAAAUUUAAAUUAAUAAUGAUAGUAAUAAUAAUAACUUUGGUAAUACACACUACCUCUCUCCCUUCUCAGCUUCCUUUCUGGAAGAAUCCUUUUUUGGGAGGUGUUAGCUGGCCCUGAUUGUUUUCUUUCAGGAAUUCUCAAUUCCCCUGCUUUCCUGACAUUUCACCCACAUCUAUGGCAGGCAUCCUCAGAAGUGUGAGGGUGCCUGCCACAGAUAUGGGCAAAACGUCAGCAGAGAAAGUCUCUGGAACAUGGUCAUGCAUACAUGGCCAUACACAGCAACUCAAGGCCAAACACUUUCAUAACAGCUCUUUGUCCAGGCUUUAACAAAAGCACAUCUGUUGGAAAUAAAAUACUGUAGAAUUAUAAUUAGCAUCAAUACCCCUUAAGAAACCUUGUUGUUCUCUUAAAGAACAAAAGGUUAACCAAUUUUCCCUUCUCUAACUUUAAAGAAAGCUACUAUCAAAUAACAUCUUGCCAAUAUCUUACCUAUACAGAAAUAAGAGACGAGUUAACAAACAAUACUGCUAAAUGUUGUAAUUGUCACAGUCAUGAGGUCAGUCUUCUAAAUGAAUGAUGAUGCAUCUUAAAAAUAUGUGUAUUUUGGGAAAAGAUAAUACAUAUAGUAAAAUUAAUGGCUGGCUAUAUUAUUUCUAUGGCUAUGAGAUUUCCUUCAACCCAAUUAACCUUCUUUUGAGAUAGCAAGAUGAUUGUACAGGAGAAAAACUCCAUACAGAAGUCUGGAAAGCAGAUGUGCAGCAAAGAUUGUAAUUGUCUCUAAUAGUGCAUUCCAGCCCUAGUUUUCAGUUAUUCUCCACAUUUUGUAACUAAGGAAUGGCUUGACAAAUUGUGAAAAAUGACAGAAAUGGCAAAAUUGACUGAGAUUGACCAAUUAAACAAAGGAAUAAAGGUGGAAAACACAUACACAAAAAUAACUGAAGUAGCAUAGUUGUUGUUAAGUUGGUUACUAAAGUUUUGAUACAAGAUUAUCAUAAUUGCAAUUUUGAUGUAUUAUAAGGAUUUGCCAAACUAGUGGCAAUGGAAUGUAGAUUCACACAUUACAUAAAAUGCAGCAUGAGUUGCAGUGUUCAUUACUUUAUUGGUUAGGGUUACAACUUUUAAAAACUUAUCACACCAUAGGAUAGUGGAUCCAAAUAUGAGCUGACCAUGACCUACCCAAAAAUACAAUGUCUCAGUCUGCCCACCAAGAACCCAUGGGAUUGUGAUUAAUGAGAUCAACAUUAGCUGUUACUGCAUGCUUUUGGUGUCAUCCAUUGAAUCAUCCACUCAUCAUGUAGGUAGGCAUAGUGUAGAUCCAGCUGUAACACUCUUAAGCAGCGCGAACACUGGGAACCAACACGGAGGCCAAUAAACAAUCUAAUAUCUUUAUUAAAGCAAUUAAAGUUUCAAACAAAAAUAAGCAGAAUAGAUAGUCAAGCAGUUGACCUUUCAGGAAAGAUCAAAAUUAGUCCAAUAAAUGAAAGUCUUAUGUCCAGUAAUAGAGUCCAAAGUCCAAUAACCGAAACACACUCAAACUUAAUGGAAGUUUGAGUGGGGAAAGGAGCAAAGUUCCUCAGGAAAGUAUUUGAAGUAAAAGUCCAGAACAAGGUUUCAAGGCAAGGCUAUGGCUGUUCGUGAUGGUAAGGUAAGCGCGCCGGCAGGCCACUUGGAAUUCAGGAGCGAGAGACAAUGAACUCUUCAAUCUGAAGUUGUUGACACCGCACAGAAGAUUCUCUGUGCAAGACUUUUAACGAAGUUCAUAGCUCCCCCAAGCAGGUGUUUGACUCCCCAAAACUUCCCAAGAUAACUGAGCAGCCAAAAUCUCACGCCAGGUGCCUGCCUCCCUAAUUCUUCCCAAGAGAACUGGGUUUAGCCACAAUCGCCUCACUCUGCUAAUCUGACACUUCGUCUUAAACUUUGCCUUUGGGAGCGAUCUGUUUUCAAGAAAGCCCUUCUAUCAAAACGUAAACCCUCCGGAGAUCCGGGAAGCGCCGGCACCGUCUCAAGGGCAUCCUUAAUUGGCUCUGGCACAGAAAUGUCAACAGAAGGCAUCUGGAAAGGAAUUGAAUCUUGCUCACUUGGGAAAAACCCCAAGUCCUCUUCAGUUUGAUCAGCAAUGGCUGCAGGGUCAGGGGGCAAAGGUGCCUGAGACAUCAUACCAGCCCACUGUGCAAUGUGUCACUUAAAAUGGUUGAAACAACAAAAAGGACUGAGGCCCCUUCCACACAGCUGAAUAAAAUCCCACAGUUUCUGCUUUUAACAGGAAUAUAUGGCAGUGUGGACUCAGAUAACCCAGUUCAAAGCAGAUAUUGGGGGAUUUUCUGCCUUGAUAUUCUGGGUUAUAUGGCUGUGUGGAAGGGCCCAUAGAUACAGAACUUUAUUUAAACCAAUGUUUCCCAAACUUAUUUGGCCUACCACCACUUU